RNAcentral lists this ribosomal RNA (375 nucleotides) under uncultured organism. RNAcentral describes it as "partial 16S ribosomal RNA". It matches the Rfam family "Bacterial small subunit ribosomal RNA", at positions 527 to 896 of the family's 1533-position model. The record is from RNAcentral.
GAGGGGUGCAAGCGUUAUUCGGAAUUAUUGGGCGUAAAGGGUGCGCAGGCGGCACAUUAAGUCAACUGUUUAAUCUCCCGGCCUAACUGGGAGUCAGCGGUAGAAACUGAUGUGCUUGAGUAUGGAAGAGAGAAGUGGAAUUCUCGGAGUAGCGGUAAAAUGCGUAGAUCUCGAGAGGAACACCGAUGGCGAAGGCAGCUUCUUGGUCCAUUACUGACGCUCAUGCACGAAAGCGUGGGGGGAGCAAACAGGAUUAGAUACCCUGGUAGUCCACGCCCGUAAACGAUGAUCACUAGACGUUAGUCUCGCUUUGCGGGGCUAGUGUCGUAGCUAGCGCGUUAAGUGAUCCGCCUGGGGAGUACGGUCGCAAGAUUA